GACGAACGCUGGCGGCGUGCCUAAUACAUGCAAGUAGAACGCACAGUUUAUACCGUAGCUUGCUACACCAUAAACUGUGAGUUGCGAACGGGUGAGUAACGCGUAGGUAACCCGCCUGGUAGCGGGGGAUAACUAUUGGAAACGAUAGCUAAUACCGCAUAAUAUUAAUUAUUGCAUGAUAAUUGAUUGAAAGAUGCAAUCGCAUCACUACCAGAUGGACCUGCGUUGUAUUAGCUAGUAGGUGAGGUAACGGCUCACCUAGGCGACGAUACAUAGCCGACCUGAGAGGGUGAUCGGCCACACUGGGACUGAGACACGGCCCAGACUCCUACAGGAGGCAGCAGUAGGGAAUCUUCGGCAAUGGACGAAAGUCUGACCGAGCAACGCCGCGUGAGUGAAGAAGGUUUUCGGAUCGUAAAGCUCUGUUGUAAGAGAAGAACGGGUGUGAGAGUGGAAAGUUCACACUGUGACGGUAUCUUACCAGAAAGGGACGGCUAACUACGUG
RNAcentral lists this ribosomal RNA (505 nucleotides) under uncultured bacterium. Its description in RNAcentral is "partial 16S ribosomal RNA". It matches the Rfam family "Bacterial small subunit ribosomal RNA", at positions 28 to 507 of the family's 1533-position model. The record is from RNAcentral.